UACGUAGGCAGCGAGCGUUUGUUCGGAGUUACUGGGCGUAAAGGGUGUGUAGGCGGUUGUUUAAGUUUGGUGUGAAAUCUCCCGGCUCAACUGGGAGGGUGCGCCGAAUACUGAAUGACUUGGAGUGCGGGAGAGGAGAGUGGAAUUCCUGGUGUAGCGGUGAAAAUGCGCAGAUAUCAGGAAGAACACCCCGUGGCGAAGGCGGCUCUCUGGGACGGUACUGACGCUGAGACGCGAAAAGCGUGGGGGAGCGAACAGG
This 259-nucleotide ribosomal RNA is filed under the name uncultured bacterium. RNAcentral's name for it is "partial 16S ribosomal RNA". It matches the Rfam family "Bacterial small subunit ribosomal RNA", at positions 524 to 776 of the family's 1533-position model. The record is from RNAcentral.